UUGAACAAGUAGGAGCACCCGCUUCUCGCCAAGUGAUUAAGUUGCUUGGCAGAUACAGUUAUCCGAAUGGAUCGCAAGUGUUGAAGUGGGUAAAGAUUAGGUUCUUUAUCCACUUUUCUUCUUGAUU
RNAcentral lists this small RNA (127 nucleotides) under Leuconostoc gasicomitatum. RNAcentral describes it as "Leuconostoc gelidum subsp. gasicomitatum L20_leader". It matches the Rfam family "Ribosomal protein L20 leader". Rfam says of the family: This family is a putative r-protein leader autoregulatory structure found in B. subtilis and other low-GC Gram-positive bacteria. Lineage: Bacteria; Bacillati; Bacillota; Bacilli; Lactobacillales; Lactobacillaceae. The record is from RNAcentral.